This 439-nucleotide ribosomal RNA is filed under the name uncultured bacterium. RNAcentral describes it as "partial 16S ribosomal RNA". It matches the Rfam family "Bacterial small subunit ribosomal RNA", at positions 338 to 795 of the family's 1533-position model. The record is from RNAcentral.
CCUACGGGUGGCAGCAGUGAGGAAUAUUGCACAAUGGGCGAAAGCCUGAUGCAGCAACGCCGCGUGAGCGAUGAAGGCUUUCGGGUCGUAAAGCUCUGUCCUCAAGGAAGAUAAUGCCGGUACUUGAGGAGGAAGCCCCGGCUAACUACGUGCCAGCAGCCGCGGUAAUAGGUAGGGGGCAAGCUUUAUCCGGAUUUACUGGGCGUAAAGGGUGCGUAGGUGGGUUCUUAAGUCAGAGGUAAAAGGCUACGGCUCAACCGGAGUAAGCCUUUGAAACUGGGUAACUUGAGUGCAGGAGAGGAGAGUGGAAUUCCUAGUGGAGCGGUGAAAGGCGUAGAUAUUAGGAGGAACACCAGUGGCGAAGGCGGCUCGCUGGACAGUAACUGACAUUGAGGCACGAAAGCGUGGGGAGCAAACAGGAUUAGAUACCCGUGUAGUC